ACAAGAGAGGCAGUAUGUCUUGAUCUGUCUCUUUAAAAUAAGUUGAUUGGCUUCUGCAGCUGUGAAACUGGAGAACACAAACUCGACAGCUGCGAGGAAAUGGAAAUGCAGCUCGUAAUAAAGCAGAUUACACCUCCCUCGAAAUAAACAGUGAAGUGACCAACGGACCAGUCCCACCGAGCGCCUGGACUCUGAGCUAUGAGGGUUUCGACAAGCUUGGCCCUUCCGCUGCUGUUGCUCUGCUGCGUCUCCUUUCUCGUCAGCGGCAAUGAAGAGCUGAAACUGAUCCACAGCCUAAUGAAGAAUUACAAUAAGAAAAUCCGCCCAGUGAAUACCACAGGGGACACUUUGGAUGUUCAGAUCAAACUGACCCUCACUAAUCUCAUCUCGUUGAAUGAAAAGGAGGAGACCCUGACGACCAGCGUAUGGCUUGGGAUUCAAUGGAGAGACUAUCGUCUCAAGUGGAAUUCUUCUGAAUAUGGAGGCAUUGAAGUGAUUCGAAUUCCUUACAGCCUGGUGUGGUUACCGGAUAUAGUCCUUGAAAACAACAUCGAUGGGAAGUUCGAUGUGGCAUAUUAUGCCAAUGUGUUGGUGUCCCCAGAUGGAAGUAUUACCUGGCUGCCCCCUGCCAUCUAUAGAAGCACAUGCUCAGUGGAAGUGACUUAUUUUCCUUUUGAUUGGCAGAACUGCACCCUCAUAUUCAGGUCUCAAACCUAUAGUGCAAGUGAGAUCAACCUCAUACUGGCAACUGAAGAGGACACGUUGAUUGAGUGGGUGUCAAUUGACCCUGCGGCUUUCACAGAAAAUGGGGAAUGGACCAUCCGUCAUCGGCCAGCAAAGAAAGUCAUCGACCAGAGGUUCACCCCUGAUGACAUGGAGUACCAGGGGAUUCACUUUUAUUUAAUCAUUCAGCGGAAGCCCCUCUUCUACAUCAUUAAUAUCAUUGUACCAUGCGUACUCAUCUCAUCACUGGUCGUGUUGGCGUACUUCCUCCCAGCUCAAGCUGGAGGUCAGAAGAUCACGGUGUCUAUCUCAGUGCUGCUUGCUCAGACUGUCUUCCUCUUCCUGAUUGCUCAGAAGGUUCCAGAGACCUCCCUUGCUAUUCCUCUCAUUGGAAAGUACCUGCUAUUUGUCAUGUGUGUGGCAACACUCAUUGUGUCCAACUGUGUGAUUGUACUCAACAUUUCCCUAAGGACCCCCAACUCUCACAGUAUGUCCCAGAAACUCAAGCAGGUAUUUUUGGAAAUCCUGCCACAUUACCUUGGAAUGAAUAUUCCAUCAUCAGAGGAGUCCAAUGAGGAGGACCAUCUGACAAGGAGGAGAAGCUCCUUUGGAAUUAUGAUAAAGGCCGAAGAGUACAUCCUUAAGCAACCACGAAGUGAGCUGGUCUUCGAGAGACAGAGAAGCCGUCACGGGCUCUCCCGUCCCUACCUGGACGCUUUUGGGGAUGGUGUAGACGUGGGAACCACAGCCAACCUCUACAAGAGCCUGGCACAAAUUGCCCCCCAUAUCAAGGAGUGUGCUGAUGCCUGCAACUUCAUUGCUGAAAGUACCAAGGAGCAGAAUGACGUUGGAUCGGAAAUGGAGAGCUGGGUCCUAAUUGGCAAAGUUAUCGACAAAGUGUGCUUCUGGGCUGCGAUUCUGCUUUUCUCCAUUGGAACGAUUGGAAUAUUCCUCAUGGGGCACUACAACACUGUCCCAGACUACCCCUUUCCAGGGGAAACGAAGAAAUACCAGUAAUAGUAGCUUUCAAGGAGAGAGAAAUCCCACAGCGACGACUUGUUCACUCUGCAGAUUAUCCCUCAGAUGUGAGCCAGAAAGUAGCAAGUUGAAAAUGGUUACUUGGCUUCUGACUGUCUAUUGGCAUGUGUCCGUGCAAUAGCUGACAAAUAAAUUAAGUUCCAGACAGCGCUGUAUUCUGAUUCCUCAUCCUGGUAGUCUCUGGACAUAAGUAAGCAUGAAGUGAUUAUACUUACACUAUGUCCUGCAGAAGAUUCCAGAUGUGAGUCAUAACUGAUAGAAUGUGUUUAGAUCCAUGUGCCACCUCUAGCCAGGUUGGACUGCAGAUUGAGUGUCACUUUUGUACUCAACAUUUUCUUUGCUAAUGAUCACUUUGUAAUUUCAAAAGACUAUCUCUAGACAUCUUGUAGUUUAUAUGAGAUAAAACUACAUGUAUAUAUAAAUAAGAUUUCUUUUUUAAUUAAAAGUUGAAUUCAAAAUUUA
Molecule: RNA transcript, 2223 nt
Organism: Erpetoichthys calabaricus (reedfish)
Lineage: Eukaryota; Metazoa; Chordata; Cladistia; Polypteriformes; Polypteridae
Gene: chrne
Gene name: cholinergic receptor, nicotinic, epsilon
Exons: 13
Source: RefSeq, a predicted model, not a curated record